RNAcentral lists this microRNA (19 nucleotides) under Gallus gallus (chicken). Its description in RNAcentral is "microRNA Ros-gga". Lineage: Eukaryota; Metazoa; Chordata; Aves; Galliformes; Phasianidae. The record is from RNAcentral.
CCCGUCUGUUCGGGCCGCC